AUUGAACGCUGGCGGCAGGCCUAACACAUGCAAGUCGAGCGAGCGGCGGACGGGUGAGUAAUGUAUGGGGACUGUCAGCUAGAGGGGGAUAACUACUGGAAACGGUGGCUAAUACCGCAUACUAUCGGAUAACCCAUAUGGGAUUAGCUAGUAGGUGGGGGAAAGGCUCACCUAGGCGACGAUCUCUAGCUGGUCUGAGAGGGUGAUCAGCCACACUGGGACGUAGACAUGGCCCAGACUCCUACGGAGGAAGCAGUGGUGAAUAUUGCACAAUGGGCUCAAGCCUGAUGCAGCCAUGCCGAGUGUAUGAAGAAGGCCUUGGGGUUGUAAGGUACUUUCAGCGGGGAGGCGUUACCCGCAGAAGAAGCACCGGCUAACGCCGUGCCAGAAGCCGCGGUAAUUC
Molecule: ribosomal RNA, 403 nt
Filed under: uncultured bacterium
Lineage: Bacteria
Description: partial 16S ribosomal RNA
Rfam family: Bacterial small subunit ribosomal RNA
Source: RNAcentral